AUAGAGCAACAGCUUCUAUGCAGUUUUGAUGAGCCCCGUUAAUCUUCUCCUAGUCGCCAAACUCAGGAAGGUUAUCGGGGUUUUCUUCU
This 89-nucleotide antisense RNA is filed under the name Kosakonia radicincitans. Its description in RNAcentral is "CopA-like RNA". It matches the Rfam family "CopA-like RNA". Rfam says of the family: In several groups of bacterial plasmids, antisense RNAs regulate copy number through inhibition of replication initiator protein synthesis. These RNAs are characterised by a long hairpin structure interrupted by several unpaired residues or bulged loops. In plasmid R1, the inhibitory complex between the antisense RNA (CopA) and its target mRNA (CopT) is characterised by a four-way junction structure and a side-by-side helical alignment. Lineage: Bacteria; Pseudomonadati; Pseudomonadota; Gammaproteobacteria; Enterobacterales; Enterobacteriaceae. The record is from RNAcentral.